AGCUUGCGUUUCCUGAUGUUGUGUACUUGGUUGAUGCAAUUGAAAGGGGAGAAGAGCUUAUCAAAGCGUGAGCUGAAUCUUACCAAACCUGGUGACGCAAGCCUCCCAUAAGGAAUGAAUUGAAUGUAACAACCAAAGAAGUUCUUAGUCAAGCAGAUUUCAGGGAGAAGAGCACGGUGGAGAGAAUGAGAAGUGUUACUCAGCAAAAGUUUUCGAACUUGGCUUCACAUUUUUACAACAAUGGCAGGCACUGCCACAAGGCCUUUGCAAUCAAAUGCAACA
Vigna angularis (adzuki bean) is the source of this 282-nucleotide long non-coding RNA. RefSeq lists it as uncharacterized. The record is from RefSeq and is a predicted model, not a curated record. Lineage: Eukaryota; Viridiplantae; Streptophyta; Magnoliopsida; Fabales; Fabaceae. The transcript is spliced from 3 exons.